UCGGGUUGUAAAGCAUUUUGUCCGGAAGAAAACCUUGUGGUUAAUACCCGUGGGGGAUGACGGUACCGGAAGAAUAAGCACCGGCAACUACGUGCCAGCAGCCGCGGUAAUACGUAGGGUGCAAGCGUUAAUCGGAAUUACUGGGCGUAAAGCGUGCGCAGGCGGUUCGCUAAGACAGAUGUGAAAUCCCCGGGCUUAACCUGGGAACUGCAUUUGUGACUGGCGGGCUAGAGUAUGGCAGAGGGGGGUAGAAUUCCACGUGUAGCAGUGAAAUGCGUAGAGAUGUGGAGGAAUACCGAUGGCGAAGGCAGCCCCCUGGGCCAAUACUGACGCUCAUGCACGAAAGCGUGGGGAGCAAACAGGAUUAGAUACCCUGGUAGUCCACGCCCUAAACGAUGUCAACUAGUUGUUGGGGAUUCAUUUCCUUAGUAACGUAGCUAACGCGUGAAGUUGACCGCCUGGGGAGUACGGUCGCAAGAUUAAAACUCAAAGGAAUUGACGGGGACCCGCACAAGCGGUGGAUGAUGUGGAUUAAUUCGAUGCAACGCGAAAAACCUUACCUACCCUUGACAUGUAUGGAACCUGGCUG
This 589-nucleotide ribosomal RNA is filed under the name uncultured Burkholderia sp. RNAcentral's name for it is "bacterial SSU rRNA". It matches the Rfam family "Bacterial small subunit ribosomal RNA", at positions 418 to 1003 of the family's 1533-position model. The record is from RNAcentral. Lineage: Bacteria; Pseudomonadati; Pseudomonadota; Betaproteobacteria; Burkholderiales; Burkholderiaceae.